GUGUGCCAGUGAUGAUUAAAGAUCUAGCAAUGGUGAAUUCGAUGAAUGUGCUUGUGUGCCGCUGAGUACGCAGCUGUGGUGAUAUACAUUCUUACGCAGUACAUCUGAGGCAACC
This 115-nucleotide small nucleolar RNA is filed under the name Leersia perrieri. RNAcentral describes it as "snoRNA snoZ188". It matches the Rfam family "Small nucleolar RNA Z188". Rfam says of the family: Z188 is a member of the C/D class of snoRNA which contain the C (UGAUGA) and D (CUGA) box motifs. Most of the members of the box C/D family function in directing site-specific 2'-O-methylation of substrate RNAs. Lineage: Eukaryota; Viridiplantae; Streptophyta; Magnoliopsida; Poales; Poaceae. The record is from Rfam by way of RNAcentral.